UGGACGCGCCCUGUUCAUCUUCGAAACAGCAGUAACAGAGGCCGGGUGACGCCGCGACACCUUAUGUGGCGGCGCCCACAAUGUCCGCGACCCUGAUAGUCACGUGUCAACGAUCCGAAGCGCGAGCGCCAGGCAUUGCUGCGAUUGCGACCCCAUAGAAAACAAUCCUGAUGAGACGAUGUGCUCUGAGCCGUCACGUGGGCUAGAUCAAGCCCACCGAUUCAUUUGCCAGGCAAGCGCUCAUUGCAGGUGGCAUAGUGCAUCGCAAUCUUUGAACCUACGUAAAUUUUGCUAGAGUUUGCGCGCUUGUAAUGCUUUAACGUUACCACUGUAGUCGAGCUACGUUUUAUGUGCUUGCUGCGUGAAAGCCUGUCAGCGGAACGUCUCUCUGGCCGGGUUGCGUGCAAGCGUGUUCAGGCUCUUUGCAAGAAGGCACGGCAACGAGGUAGUGCCGUGUGUUUUCACGCCGUGGACUUGAGGUGGUGCUGCGUGGACGAGCGUCAGAGUAUACCAAUGCAUAUUUCCUCCUCGUGCUCCUUUUUGUGGCUUCCCAGCAAUCAAGGAUGAAGUUCGUCAUGCCUGCUAGCCAGUGCGAACCGGCAGCCAUGGAAAUUGCACCCGCGGAACCAAAGUGGCGAUUUUCUUGUUGCCCAUCUAAGGAAGCUGAUGAAGAAACUGGACUAGUGUAGCUCCCGCAUUCGGCUUAUCGAGUAAAAAGGAAUUCAAGGAUCUGUCUGUCGAGCGGAAUACCAGGACAGCCGGCGUGGAUUGCAUUGGGAAGGUUUUUUCAAUCAUGAAGUAGUUUAUGGCACCAAGAGCUCAACAGCAACUAAUCAGAUUGACCAUGUCGCUGCAAAGAAGCACAAGAGACACCACCAAGCCUCCAUGCAGGGAUGGGAACAAGGAAAUAAAAUAAAAUAUUGCAGUUUUUCUUCA
Dermacentor albipictus is the source of this 936-nucleotide long non-coding RNA. RefSeq lists it as uncharacterized. NCBI's taxonomy places the organism in Eukaryota, Metazoa, Arthropoda, Arachnida, Ixodida, Ixodidae. The record is from RefSeq and is a predicted model, not a curated record.